This 1168-nucleotide long non-coding RNA is filed under the name Phaseolus vulgaris (common bean). RNAcentral's name for it is "long non-coding RNA (PVUL_LNC001495)". Lineage: Eukaryota; Viridiplantae; Streptophyta; Magnoliopsida; Fabales; Fabaceae. The record is from RNAcentral.
UGACUUGUUCUUCGUCGUUAUCUUCUUUUCCUCUGUGUCUGUUUUUUGGUACCUGAGAAAAUGUCUUGCUGUGGUGGUAACUGUGGUUGCGGAAGUGGCUGCAAGUGCGGCAACGGCUGCUCAGGGUGAGUGAGGUUAUAGUGCCUUUGUUGUGUCUUCGUUUUAUAUGUCGGAAAAUGGUUUUCCUUUUGGGAGGGUCUUCUUCCUGGAUUUUAACUUGCUUUAUGGAGACCCUUUUGGCUGAACUGCAUGAAAGUUCACGCUUUGUUAAUUUUCUUGCAUGGGGAUAUUGUGAUAACCUGAACAUUUAUUUUGCUUGUACAGAACAUGUAGAUUUGUUUUUCUUCUACACGGGAAGGUUUCUGGGGUUUUUUUAUUUCUAUCUGGGUACCCUUUUUUGUUGAAUUUGUAUAAAAGUUAGUACUUUUAAUUUUUUUUUUCUUCUUACUUGCGUUUUUGCGAGUUAAACUCUGACCGCUUUGAUGGUCUCUUUCACUUGUUUAAAGAUUGCGGUGUUUCGAUUUAUUUGGCUUUUUGGAUACCCUUUGAGUUGAUCUAUGGUUGUUAGAAUCUCCACGAGGAUUUUAUUUCUGGGAAAAUGUUUCUGGGAGUCCUGAUACAUGUUGAAUGUGAAUUCACCUGAUCAUGAUGCAAAUGAACCAUAUUAAAUGUUUGUGCACUGUUAAGAAGAGAGAAACGCAAUGUUUUCAUGUUAAAAUAAUCAUGAGAGGAUUUUUUACCCCUGUGUUGUUUAAAUUUCCCUUAGACUUUUUGUUUUCUUAAUUUUUUUGUUUUUGGUUGUUCUGCAGCUGCAAGAUGUACCCAGACUUGAGCUACACGGAGCAGACAACCACUGAGACUUUGGUCAUGGGAGUGGCACCUGUUAAGGCUCAAUUCGAAGGUGCUGAAAUGGGUGUUUCUGGUGAGAAUGGUGGCUGCAAGUGUGGAGGUAACUGCCAAUGCGACCCCUGUACUUGCAAGUGAGGUUGGAUUGCGAAAGCUUGAAGCAGAGAUUGGACCUUAAUUAGCAUUAGCAGCAGGAAUAAUUACAAUAAUUAACUAUUAUCUGUUUUUUAAAAAGCUUACAAAAAUUUAUGUCUUUGUUUCUGUUUUCGUGUACUCUGGUGUUAGGUCUAAACACCCUUUAGAAUAAAGUGAUCAUGUCUUG